This 277-nucleotide ribosomal RNA is filed under the name uncultured prokaryote. RNAcentral describes it as "partial 16S ribosomal RNA". It matches the Rfam family "Bacterial small subunit ribosomal RNA", at positions 524 to 801 of the family's 1533-position model. The record is from RNAcentral.
UACGUAGGGGGCUAGCGUUAUCCGGAAUUACUGGGCGUAAAGGGUGCGUAGGUGGUUUCUUAAGUCAGAGGUGAAAGGCUACGGCUCAACCGUAGUAAGCCUUUGAAACUGGGAAACUUGAGUGCAGGAGAGGAGAGUGGAAUUCCUAGUGUAGCGGUGAAAUGCGUAGAUAUUAGGAGGAACACCAGUUGCGAAGGCGGCUCUCUGGACUGUAACUGACACUGAGGCACGAAAGCGUGGGGAGCAAACAGGAUUAGAUACCCGCGUAGUCCCUGAG